Molecule: long non-coding RNA, 725 nt
Organism: Vespula pensylvanica (western yellowjacket)
Lineage: Eukaryota; Metazoa; Arthropoda; Insecta; Hymenoptera; Vespidae
Exons: 3
Source: RefSeq, a predicted model, not a curated record
AGACAGAGAGAGAGAGAGAGAGAGAGAGAGAGAGAGAGAGACAAAGAGAGAAAAAGCUAGCACUCUUUUUUAUUCCCUCGUAAAGGAAGAUAUCAAAACAAAGAGAAGAAAUACUUUUUGCACUGAUAGACGGAAUCUAGGAUGGCUCAGCGGUGGUCCUUGCCUUGCAAACAGGCUUUCGGGUAGCAAGCCUAUUUGGUACACGUGUCUUUAGACGUUGAAUCGCGGUGAUCCACCCAUUCGUCGGCAAAGAGAGGAGAGAGAUCGAGGAUCGCGACAAAGAGGGACCCAUGACACGCUUUGCCACGUGACCAACGAUGCCGGCUAGUUCACCUUUUCUCUCGCCUCAUUCUGUUCGAGGUUUAUCAUGGAACUGGAAUCGUAUAUGUAUGUGUGUCUGUAAGAGAAAGAGAGGGUGAAAAAAGAGGUUAAAAUAAAAUUUCGACGGCAGUAACAAUGAACCGCAGGUACGAUCGGUAGACAAACGUUCGCUAUUAAGCCUUCACCAAUCGGAAAAGAUUGUGAUAAUCAUUUCGGAGAAGAACGAAGCUGAUUGGACGGAGUCCACGCCCAGGGGUUGGUAUCGAUCAUCCCCCAACAGGGGGAUUUCUUAUAUAAACCAGUCUCUCUAGGGACACCGACGAUAGUCGAAAUUCAUCCGAUGUCCGUGAAGGAAUUAAUUCGCGAGUGGUAGUUUAAAAGUGAUCUUUUGAAUGAUAUUUCGA